CUACGGGAUGCAGCAGUGAGGAAUAUUGGGCAAUGGGGGCAACCCUGACCCAGCCAUGCCGCGUGAGUGAAGAAGGAUUUAGGUUUGUAAAGCUCUUUCGGAUGUGACGAUGAUGACGGUAGCAUCUAAAGAAGCCCCGGCUAACUUCGUGCCAGCAGCCGCGGUAAUACGAAGGGGGCAAGCGUUGUUCGGAAUUACUGGGCGUAAAGGGAGUGUAGGCGGCGUAGCAAGAUAGGGGUGAAAUCCCGGGGCUCAACCUCGGAACUGCCUUUAUAACUGCUAUGCUAGAGUUAUAGAGAGGAAGAUGGAAUAUCCAGUGUAGAGGCGAAAUUCGUAGAUAUUGGAUAGAACACCAGUGGCGAAGGCGAUCUUCUGGCUAUAUACUGACGCUGAGGCUCGAAAGCGUGGGGAGCGAACAGGAUUAGAUACCCGUGUAGUC
This 439-nucleotide ribosomal RNA is filed under the name uncultured bacterium. Its description in RNAcentral is "partial 16S ribosomal RNA". It matches the Rfam family "Bacterial small subunit ribosomal RNA", at positions 339 to 795 of the family's 1533-position model. The record is from RNAcentral.